GACGGUCUUGCUGUCACUUAUAGAUGGAUCCGCGCUGCAUUAGCUAGUUGGUAAGGUAACGGCUUACCAAGGCAACGAUGCAUAGCCGACCUGAGAGGGUGAUCGGCCACACUGGAACUGAGACACGGUCCAGACUCCUACGGGAGGCAGCAGUAGGGAAUCUUCCGCAAUGGGCGAAAGCCUGACGGAGCAACGCCGCGUGAGUGAUGAAGGUCUUCGGAUCGUAAAACUCUGUUAUUAGGGAAGAACAUAUGUGUAAGUAACUGUGCACAUCUUGACGGUACCUAAUCAGAAAGCCACGGCUAACUACGUGCCAGCAGCCGCGGUAAUACGUAGGUGGCAAGCGUUAUCCGGAAUUAUUGGGCGUAAAGCGCGCGUAGGCGGUUUUUUAAGUCUGAUGUGAAAGCCCACGGCUCAACCGUGGAGGGUCAUUGGAAACUGGAAAACUUGAGUGCAGAAGAGGAAAGUGGAAUUCCAUGUGUAGCGGUGAAAUGCGCAGAGAUAUGGAGGAACACCAGUGGCGAAGGCGACUUUCUGGUCUGUAACUGACGCUGAUGUGCGAAAGCGUGGGGAUCAAACAGGAUUAGAUACCCUGGUAGUCCACGCCGUAAACGAUGAGUGCUAAGUGUUAGGGGGUUUCCGCCCCUUAGUGCUGCAGCUAACGCAUUAAGCACUCCGCCUGGGGAGUACGACCGCAAGGUUGAAACUCAAAGGAAUUGA
RNAcentral lists this ribosomal RNA (720 nucleotides) under Staphylococcus aureus. Its description in RNAcentral is "bacterial SSU rRNA". It matches the Rfam family "Bacterial small subunit ribosomal RNA", at positions 202 to 913 of the family's 1533-position model. Lineage: Bacteria; Bacillati; Bacillota; Bacilli; Caryophanales; Staphylococcaceae. The record is from RNAcentral.